Molecule: ribosomal RNA, 490 nt
Filed under: uncultured bacterium
Lineage: Bacteria
Description: partial 16S ribosomal RNA
Rfam family: Bacterial small subunit ribosomal RNA
Source: RNAcentral
AUUGAACGCUGGCGGCAGGCCUAACACAUGCAAGUCGAAUGGUAACAGGAAACAGCUUGCUGUUUCGCUGACGAGUGGCGGACGGGUGAGUAAUGUCUGGGAAACUGCCUGAUGGAGGGGGAUAACUACUGGAAACGGUAGCUAAUACCGCAUAACGUCGCAAGGCCAAAGAGGGGGACCUUCGGGCCUCUUGCCAUCAGAUGUGCCCAGAUGGGAUUAGCUAGUAGGUGGGGUAACGGCUCACCUAGGCGACGAUCCCUAGCUGGUCUGAGAGGAUGACCAGCCACACUGGAACUGAGACACGGUCCAGACUCCUACGGGAGGCAGCAGUGGGGAAUAUUGCACAAUGGGCGCAAGCCUGAUGCAGCCAUGCCGCGUGUAUGAAGAAGGCCUUCGGGUUGUAAAGUACUUUCAGCGGGGAGGAAGGGAGUAAAGUUAAUACCUUUGCUCAUUGACGUUACCCGCAGAAGAAGCACCGGCUAACUCCGUG